CAGAGAACUCUUACUAGGCCAGUGUGUCACAGACAGGAGAUUACAGCUGCACGGACAUAUUUGGAAACUUGUUCUAUAACAAGUCUGGAUCACGUUGUGUAACUAAGGUACAAUUACAUAGCCUGUAAUAUCUAUCAUCUGAAAACCCCCCCUCAAGGAGUUAAAAAGUGGUCAGGCAGCAGAAAUCACAGCUGCUAAAGGAGACGUCAUCAGACCGUCCUAUACACUGCCCUUCCAUCACAGCGGCACAUUCAUCCUCUCAGGAAUGCUCACAAAAUGGAGGUAAGCCAUGAUUUAUUUGACUUUUAAUAUUUCAGGUCCUCCAAAAUUGCCAAUUCAAACAAAUGACCAUUUUUAUUUUCCUUUUUGUGUAAACAAUAACUUUUGGCACCAUGGUCAACAUUCAUACAUACAGCAGCUAAAAGAAACCCAAAAAAAGCACAGCAUUAAAGUACUAGUACUAAAAAAAAAAACAGAACACUAACAGUUACCUCACAGGUGUGAAGCUCACAGCCUGGCCAAAGCCUGGGAGCUAAGCCUGCCAACGACAAGUAGGCUACAUACCCCCCCCAUCCAUCACAUGUGCCCAUCCAUGUCCUUCAAGACAUUACAGGUAUUACUUACGUGUCCAUGGUGCAACUCGGCUACAGACUGAACCCACAACCUUCCCGUUUUAAGAUGAGAUUUAUGACCAGCUGAUAGACAACUAGCCUAUAUCAGGCAACAUGUUAAUAUGUUGAUAAAUUUGUGACAGGGAAAUGAAUAGUCUACUUGUUGAAUAUUUCUCAUGCCUCUUAGUUUGACUUAGCAUAGGUUAGGUCAGAGAGCAAUAUUUACUGUGUGAACAGGAUUUAAUGUGUUCAUGGCUACGAAUAACUCUUACAAAAUUAGCAUGUGUUUUGUAGUUGUAGCUGUAUGCACUUACUGUACGUUGCUUUGGAUAAAAGCGUCAGCCAAAUAAAGGCAAUGUACUUAAAAUGUAACGCACAACGUUGCAAACAGAAAGUACAGCCAUUUUAAUCCAACAUAUGCCACUAAAGAAGCAUCCAACAUUGAACAUAAUAUAAUCCACAAAAACCUGUUUUUGUUUGGGUAACUUGAAUCUUAUCUUCUCACAGAAAACAUCACAAAUGCCAGUAAGUAGGUAGCCUACAUAUGUACAGUAUGUCUGUACUGUCAAUUUACUAUGAAAGACCCUAACCUCACCGAGAAAAAUGUAAUAGCCCUACUAAAACCAAGAGGAAAGAGUGAGCUUUAUCAACAUAAUCUGCCUAUUGAUCUAAAAAAUCAAUUGGUUACAAGGACCAGAAAUCAUGCAGGCAAGACGCAAACUUCCACAAGGUGCUCAUCUAAAAUAGAGAGCUUGAGACCUAUGUGACAGGACAGAUGCUGUCCCUGUAACUAAAAGCACGCUGUGGUCCUGUCAAAGUGUCCAUUCCUUUGCGGCCACCUUCCUGUGCUCCACAUCCACCACGCUGCCCUCUCCUCUCUACAGCACCGUUCACCGGGGACCAGACCCGACCGGGACACUGACCCGGGACGCUGACCCGGGACGCCGACCGGGACGCCGAACGGAGCAGCUGACCAACGCCACCUACCUGAGAAGGACUCGGACUCGUCCAGCAGCAGCAUGGCUCGGGGGGGGGGGGGCUGCCCAAUUCUCUGCUCUGCUCCACCCGGGACCGCUCUCACCACGGCGGGAGUUGACGUGCCCAGAUAGCCGGUCCUCGGCGCUGAGCGGCUCGCCUCUGCGUUAGGUUCUCAAGCGUGCUCAGACUCUCUCUCUCUCUCGUUCUCUCUCCGCGCUCGCUGCUCUGUACUGUGCGCUGCUCAGCUGCUAACCGGCUCGCUGACUGACUGACUGACUGGCUGAGUGUGGUGCUGAACACCGCGCUCUCAUUCACUGAAUGUGGUCCAAGUGCUGAUUAAGUAAAGCCAGUGGGUAGAGACCAGGAACUAAACAGAACUCCUUACAUAACCAUUCACGCUCUGACAGGGGCCCCGCCAGGGGGGUUUCUGAAUGGCCAGAGCUGCGGAUCCCUCUGCAACGCCGGCUCUCUCCCUCUUUCAUAACGGCCACGAAGGGGAGUGUAUCAACACCGCACAACCUCAGCAGGCAAAGUCUGAGUUUACGUGCGCAGGUGGCAUCGAGCACAAGCAUUUCAACCUCCUUUCACAUUUUUACAUUUCAAAUCUGCUUGAAUUGGCUGCUUUCAGGUGUUAGUGUGCUGUGUUGAGCAGUAUGCUGGUUACACAACCAAUUCUGCAUAAAGGCUACAACAACAGGAAAAACAAAUAACCUGAAUUCACAUGAUCCAGAGAGCUAUACACUUCUGGAGUACAGUUAACAAGAAAGUUGUACUAAGAAAGAACAGACUUGUAAAAGACAGAACAGAAGAAUAAUUUAGUCUGAGAUACUGCAGUUUUUAGCCACAGAGCACAAAAAAGACCCUGCAAGGUAAAUACACACAUCUGCCCUCACCAGCCCCAGCACUUUGCCUCACACACUGCUCAGACCUCAAUCGCCACUGCGAUGCGCUCAGCGCUCAGCGCAACUCAUCAUGUACUUACACAUGGCCCUGACGUUAAGGGAUCUGUGGCUGCUCAUUUCUGUCACCUUGACCAGAGAGGUUCAGCGAACAUCAUUCCAGCGUUGUGGGUGGCAGCCCCCAGGAGUCGACAGCCAGUCUGAAAGCUCAGUCCUGUGCGUAAUCUAGCUACCCCGAGGCACUGAGAGACAAUUACAAAACAAAGAAUUUCCAGAAGAGCGACCGUCGCUGCCGACCGUCGCGCCAGCCCUGCCGGGGCCCUCUUUCUGGAAAAGCUCCCCCCACUGGCGUCAUCGUCACACGCGCAUCCCCCUCCCCUCCCUGAGUGUCACUGGCAGGCCUCUCCCCUUUCAGCGGGGCUGCCUUAGGUAACCGGGUGACAGAGUUCAAAAGCUGACUGAGGCCUGCUCCACAAUGGAGGAAACCCAUAUUCAAAACACAAAGAUUACCGAGCUCACUUACACAAACAAAGACUGACUGCGCUGUAAGCCAUAUCUUAGAAACAGUGUGAACAGGAUGGGGGGGGUGUAAGGGAGAAAGUGAGAUGCUUGAGAGGUUUGGGGGGGGAGAGAGAGAUACUGUACAAGUGAACAAUGUGCUGGCUGCUCACAGGUUUAUGUACGCUUGGCUUUAGACACUGCUGCGAUACCAGCAGCAGGCUCUUUCUGCAGAAGGCAGAGCAGGGCAUCCAAUCCUGCUGCAGAUGCUCUGGACUUUUCAGUUCAACUCCGACACACUUACAGAGUUUACAAGGACAUGCCUGACAAACGUGCUCAUUUCUUUCAGAAUGCACUCGCUGUUUAUACAAAGUGUUUGUCACUCAAAUGGGAGGGCAAAGGAAUGGUGAGCAAAAAUGACAAAUAUGAAAUCCCAUUGAAGAAAAUCUUUUGGUAUACUGUAAGCCUGCCAGUGCAAAUAAAGUAAUACUUCAAUGGUUCAUUGUUUGGCAGGCUAAUAUGUUUUUUAUAUGCAAAAUGAAUGUCUUUUCAUGCUGAAACAACCGUAGGAAAAUGUAUCAUACUUAACUUUCAAUUUUGUCAAAAUUAAUUGGCAAAACAGCUUCAGGCAUGAGAUCAUCUUUUCAAUGGGAUUUCGUAGUCCCCUUAACACGGUCCAGCAUACUGCUAAAGGCAAUUAUUGGAUCCUUUGUGCACACCUUGCUUAAGCAUAAAAAAGUGUUGUAGUAAGCGGUGUCUUUUUUCAUUUAUUUGAAUUUUUGUGAUUCAACACCCAGUAUUUCUCAUAAUGUUUUGUGCUGAGCACAUUUCAUGCUACUAUUAUUCUGUAUACGAAAAACGCAUAGGGGGAAAAAUAUAUUUUUGGUGCAUCAGGCUCAGUCAUUAAUGAGGGAAAUGAGUUCUCUGAGGACCAACGGUGCUCAAAUCUACAGCAAACUUCAGCAGAACAGCGGCUGCCGUGUGUGGCACAGUUGUGGUGCGUGGCUGUGUGGCACGACGGCAGCCUGUAGCCGGCAGCCCUGCUGCGCUCGUAACAUAGCUCAAGGUAGGCCUCAGCUGGCGGGACUGUUUGUGCUUCACUGUGCACCAGGGCGGUCAAUCCACCCGCAUCAGCUGCACAUGAAGCAUACUCCUCCAAUGCAGUGUGCAGUCUGAGCUAGCGUGAAGGGAGUGUUUAGGCUGAGGUGGUCAACAGGUUGCGUUCAGGCUGAGCUAGCGUGUAGGGAGUGUUCAGGCUGAGCUAGCCUACAGUGGAGUGAAACAGGCGCAGUUGAUAAUGAACUUGACAGCAAAGAAGAAACAACUUGGAAACCAAACUGAACUUGUGAAACAAAAUGUGAAAACAUGAAGAAAAAUCACGGUGAAAAUUGGUUAAUAAAAAAAAAAAAAAAUCAGUUUAUAAACAAUAAAAAAAGGUGCUGACAGAAGGGAUCAAGUUAAUGGCAGUUUAAACCAAAGGCACUCAUAGCCAUCACAGGCACAACACUGAUACACACUACAAGCUCUUUCACUGAGGGCACCGUAUCAAAUGCAAUUUCACUGGUGACUGAUUCAGACAAACAUCCAUUUUAAAUGAAGCACAACAGGUGAGCUCCAGGAACAGAGAACACUGUGUGCUCUUCGAAUGGCCUGGUACUCUCUGCCCACUUGUCAGCUCCCUCCAACUGCUCUGGAAUUGGAGCACUGUGCCCUAUCCCUGGCCAACCCGUUAUUCAAUCGGCCUGCCACGUUUCCAAGUCUGCUCCGGCUCGCUGCUGCCCCAUGCUCAGGUUACACAGGGGGCUGUGUUCAGCCGCACCAGGCUGUGCCGGUUAGCGGCGCUGAGGGGGAGAUGCCUCGGACCAGGGGCCUCAUUCGCGAAACGUGUGUACGAUCACAUUUGAACAUAAACGUAAGAACGUUUCAAAGAAUAUUCCGCCAUUCAUUAUUUUUUUCUCAUCUGUAUUUGUUCACGGCUGUUUCCUUAUGCCAAUCACAUGAACAGGAUUUCACAUAAAAUGUAUUAGCAGUCAGCAUUCAUCAUCUCAUACAGCUGGGAUGUGCACUAAAACAAAGGUCUGCACAUGCGUCAUGAAUCUCAGGUUGUUUUUUUUCAUAGGACAAAAGUAAGAAUAAUUUUAGAUUUAAGGUUUUGUGAAUGAGGCCUGCCGCUCUGGCCCCACUGGCUGCCCUCUGGAGCUUGCGGCGCUCAGUGACAGAUGAUGCGUCGGUGGCGUCCGGGGAAAGACGCAGGAAGGAGGGGAAAGACGCAGGAAGGAGGGGAAAGACACAGGAAGGAGGGGAAAUCCGACGGGAGAAAGCGCCCUCAAACUGCAUGCGAAACGUAGCCGCAGGCUCGUGCUGUAGGGGGAUUCGAUCCUGACGUACACAACAGCCAGGACGGCUCAAUCCCCAAGUUCUUCCAGUCAGGAAAAAAUGGAAUAAACACACGCUUGAAAUGGGCUCGAAAAUUAUGUUAAUCUCUGGAAAGACUGAAGAGGCAUGUGGAAAUGAAUCCCAGUGUAAAUAUUUGGGUGGAAAAGAGCACACACCAGUUAGCUGGCCCUCACAUGGCUGACUGUGAAAGCAGGAUGGGCCCAUGGAACAAUCCAAAUUCUUGUAAAUAAAAAAAUAUUUUAUCUUACUAUUUCCCCCCCAUUGAAUCUCAAUUUGUUGUCACAUGGUAUUGAUUGACAGUUCAUGCCUGUCACAUGUGAUGGAUGGAUUUCUCAUUCCUGUCCAGAAUCUACAAAUACAUCCUCUCGAUCCAUUCUUUGUUUACACCCUGAUGAAGACUCAGCAAGGUCAAAACCGGUCAGUUUUUGUAACUAAAUAUCAGCAGAUAUGCAGCCAUAACAAAGGCUUUCAAAAUA
This is a long non-coding RNA of Anguilla rostrata (American eel), 5859 nucleotides long. RefSeq lists it as uncharacterized. The record is from RefSeq and is a predicted model, not a curated record. The transcript has 2 exons. NCBI's taxonomy places the organism in Eukaryota, Metazoa, Chordata, Actinopteri, Anguilliformes, Anguillidae.